ACCAACAGGGAUUGCCUUAGUAGCGGCGAGUGAAGCGGCAAAAGCUCAAAUUUGAAAUCUGGCUCUUUCAGAGUCCGAGUUGUAAUUUGAAGAAGGUAUCUUUGGGUCUGGCUCUUGUCUAUGUUUCUUGGAACAGAACGUCACAGAGGGUGAGAAUCCCGUGCGAUGAGAUGAUCCAGGCCUAUGUAAAGUUCCUUCGAAGAGUCGAGUUGUUUGGGAAUGCAGCUCUAAGUGGGUGGUAAAUUCCAUCUAAAGCUAAAUAUUGGCGAGAGACCGAUAGCGAACAAGUACAGUGAUGGAAAGAUGAAAAGAACUUUGAAAAGAGAGUGAAAAAGUACGUGAAAUUGUUGAAAGGGAAGGGCUUGAGAUCAGACUUGGUAUUUUGUAUGUUACUUCUUCGGGGGUGGCCUCUACAGUUUAUCGGGCCAGCAUCAGUUUGGGCGGUAGGAGAAUUGCGUUGGAAUGUGGCACGGCUUCGGUUGUGUGUUAUAGCCUUCGUCGAUACUGCCAGCCUAGACUGAGGACUGCGGUUUAUACCUAGGAUGUUGGCAUAAUGAUCUUAAGUCGCC
Molecule: ribosomal RNA, 569 nt
Filed under: Candida tropicalis
Lineage: Eukaryota; Fungi; Ascomycota; Pichiomycetes; Serinales; Debaryomycetaceae
Description: eukaryotic LSU rRNA
Rfam family: Eukaryotic large subunit ribosomal RNA
Source: RNAcentral